Seminavis robusta is the source of this 76-nucleotide non-coding RNA. NCBI's taxonomy places the organism in Eukaryota, Bacillariophyta, Bacillariophyceae, Naviculales, Naviculaceae. The record is from the annotation of a GenBank genome assembly.
AAACCAUAUCAAUCAGUUUCACUUCUCUAGAGAAGAUGACAAUUUUUGAUGUUCCAAAACGAUCGUGGUUUGGAAA